CAGUCGCCGCGGGAAUACGAAGGUGGCAAGCGUUGUCCGGAAUUAUUGGGCGUAAAGGGCUCGCAGGCGGUUUCUUAAGUCUGAUGUGAAAGCCCCCGGCUCAACCGGGGAGGGUCAUUGGAAACUGGGAAACUUGAGUGCAGAAGAGGAGAGUGGAAUUCCACGUGUAGCGGUGAAAUGCGUAGAGAUGUGGAGGAACACCAGUGGCGAAGGCGACUCUCUGGUCUGUAACUGACGCUGAGGAGCGAAAGCGCGGGGAGCGAACAGGAUUAGAUACCCCCGUAGUCCCUGUCUCUUAUAC
This 301-nucleotide ribosomal RNA is filed under the name uncultured bacterium. RNAcentral describes it as "partial 16S ribosomal RNA". It matches the Rfam family "Bacterial small subunit ribosomal RNA", at positions 509 to 807 of the family's 1533-position model. The record is from RNAcentral.